CAGAGGCCAAGAUUUCAUUUCCACAUUGAUCCACGUGGUCCUGAACUGCAGGCGAUGAAGACUGAACCUUCCAGAUCCAACAGGAGCUGAAGUGGUGUGCACCCUGGAGUCAGACCCACACACGUCCAUCCUGAGCACUCAUCUCAGUGCAACGUUCUUGCAGAGGGACAGCAGAGGAUGGGGAGGGGCCUGGUUUUCCGAGGCCGGCCAUGGGCAAGGGCAGGUGACGUGGUGAAGUCAUCUGUACUGCAGCUCAUACGGCAGGUGAAAGAAGGGAUUCCACCCAGAGUUUGCAGAUUCCCCUCUCUGAAGUCUUAGAGUAGCACCAAAUACCCUCCGGAAACCUCUGUGAGUCUUAUGGCCCUGGAAGAGGAGGCCCCUUACCUUCUAAUUACUUGUUCAAAACAUUAAAACAUUCUAUGAAGAAAGAUGCAGCUUUGCCCACAGGGCCCCCUGCCUCUAGGCCUGUACAGAAUUGGUUAGGGCAUUGCCACGCUGAUUUAAGCAGCGUCUGUUCAUAUACGACAUAACAGUGUACGUGUUUGUUUUCCUACAGUGGAAAAAUCGGAAUCUGGGGCAGGAACUUCAGUGUUAAAACACUGUUUCAUUAGAAAACUGGAUUCAGCAUCUCUCGUUUUAAUUUAGCACCUCUCGGGCCCUCGGCUGGCUGUGAAAUCACACUAAACACACACAAAUGUCGUCUCAAUCUUUGUGGAGCCUCUCCUAUUCCUGGCGGGCUGAGUCAUUUUUAUGACUGUGAGAUUUUUUUUUUCCACAACCAGGAAUCUCAUGGAAUCGAUUAUGCUGCCUCUGUUUUCACCUGGGCCUUCCAAACCCAGAGGUGGCAUGUUUAAUUGGGGAGAUUCAUCAUCUUCUAGUGGAAGCCCCUUGCUGAGAACUGUACCCAGCUAUUUGGCCUCAGCCUGUCCUGUCACCGUCUCACCAGCUCUGUCUCCCACAGCAGUGACCUUUGGCAGCCUGCUUCCCCCGAUUAGGCUUUCAGGGGAGAGACCCCCACUUGCCUGGGGCACCUGGGGCUGGGUGUCAUGUGGCAGUUGCUCUCUGGCCUGCCCUCCGCAUGCUGCUCCAACUUGCUCUUCACUGUGGCCUUCUGCUGCCAGUUUCCUCCACAUGGACAUGAGGGGAAAUUGCUCUAAAUCGUCCUGCAACAUAGGCUGCCUCAUAUUGCAAGUGUAUUUCCCGGCCUUGAGCAUGUGCAAAUAAUCCAAGCCCUUUUCUGUUGGAAUGAGGAUUCAAGGAGAAAAGUUAAAAAAAAAAAUUGUAAUGUUGUAUCUUGGGUUGCAUUUUGGAACAGUAAAGGAUAUUAAAGUAAAAUGCAGUGACGUGCAGAGUUGGUAGUUAAUAUGGCUGUUCUGGUGUAACUGUUGCCUUGCUUUUGACAAAUGCCUCCUGGUAUGAGUUUAUGGCCUCAGAAAAAUGUAAGGCUUCUCUUUUGCUCCCCACUUGCACUCUUCAAAAUGGCAGUGGAUCUGUUCGAGGAACAGGUUUGGAGUCAGCCUGGCACUUGGCUCAAUUAACCACGUCUUCGAGGCACUUGACCUUGAGGAAGUCAUUCCAACCUCCUGCAAACUCACCUCGGAGCGAUGUGGUUGUGAGGAUUACAUCAGAUAGCCUGGGGAAGGCUUGCCCAGGAACUGGGAGCCUCCUGUUCAACCCCCAUCCCAACUUUCU
This 1692-nucleotide long non-coding RNA is filed under the name Marmota monax (woodchuck). The record is from RNAcentral. Lineage: Eukaryota; Metazoa; Chordata; Mammalia; Rodentia; Sciuridae.